AACUUUAUUUUGAUAUGAAUUUCAAGAUUUCUUAUAUGCAAAGUACUGUUACGGCCAAACAAACGGUAUAAAAACGGAACAGACAUAACAAAUAUUGAACAAUAUAAGUGGUCUCCUCCGUCCAUGGGUGUCAUAAAGCGCGUAACAGUGAUGGAGCAUGCAUGGGAGAAGGAUGCACGUGUAAGUGGAUUGGGCUGGGUUUUCAUAGACUCCUAGGGUGUUUGUGAUAUUGUUUGGAAAGAUGUCGAGUAACCGAACGCUCACGCAAAAAAAAAAAAUAUGAAAAAAAAACAUUUCCUUACAAUCGUUUCAAUUAUUUGUAUCGAGUAACUGGAGUGGGUUACGUCUGCACAUGCUUCAUUUCAAAUGUGUCGCCAAAAGUUAAAUAAUACAAUCACACGAAUGUAUUUAUUUUUUCAGUGUAUUUUUUCAGUAUACAAUAUUUUUAAAAAGAGCUUAUAACCAGCGGGGUUAGCCUAGUGGUCUUGAGAGAGCUUCGGCCCCAAUACGGAUCCGGGUUCGAUUCCCGUUGGCCACCAGAAAAUUCACAUGCGGACUUGCUCUGGCGCCCGAGACCGAAGGCCACUGUCUGGGUGUUGAACCCGCUAAGGACUCGGUCUCUAGUCUGGACCACCACGGUGGAACCAGGACACUCGGUUAUCAAAAAAAAAAAAAAAAAGAGCUUAUAUAAUAUCUUGCAAAUGGUAGGAGAUAACACCGCAUGUUUUGUUUUUCUACUUUUGGGAACUGGUGAUCACUGUGCUGCAGCCUCUUUAUAAAUGAUGUAUAUAUCUACUAAAAUGUUUUUUGAAAUCAAUUAGUUGUGAUCAGAUGAUAGUUAACCAAUUAGCGAUAAUUACGGAUACAUAUGCUUCUUCUUUUUUAACACUAGGAAUACAUAUGCUAGCUUAUCAAAAUCAAAUAUGAAACAGGUUUUGUAGCCUAAUGAUUAAAACCAAAUCCAGAAUCUCACUAAGAGCUCGAAGAUCGGUGAAUCAAAGCCGGAAAGGUGAUUGGAUAGAAAGAGAGCCACCUUCUAGAAUCCUAGAUUCGUGAUGAUUGAUAGAUGAUAUACAUCACAGAUGAUGAUGAUCGAGUGAGAGAGAGAAAAGAACGAAGAGAUCAAAGAAGAAGAUAAUUUGUAACGACCCUAAUCCGGUAUUUGCUUUCUUAACCGGUUUGGUUUCAAUAAUAAUUUUAAUAAACCAAGCCAAAUUAUUUUCCUUCUCCACUGCGUUUUGGUAUAUGUAUAUAUACGCCCAACGUGUGUGUAUCUCCUUCAUUUUAAACCUAGCCGUCAAAGUGGAGAACUGAAAGAAGUCUUCAGCCUUUCCGUUCACCUCCAUCUCUGAUAUGGAGGUACGUUGCACCGGACUCGAUUGCACGUGAGCAAUGACUGCGUCACCGUCUCAUCACCACCGGACGUGAGCUGUACAUCUCCGGAGAUCCAUGUCGCCAAAGUCCUAGUCGCCCUCAUCACCACUUGUCAAAUCCAAGGCCAGCUUUAUCUUUGUUCAUGGGAUGAUCGUCAGAAUCCGCUCUUCCCUUACGUUCAUGUCAUAUUUAAUAAUUUCAUGUUGUGUCCUUUGGUCAAUCGUGAAGGUUUAAGUGCUUUUGUCCUUGUUUCUUGUACAACAAGUUGUUGUAACCCUAGCCUUAUUAAUUAAUAUUUUGUAUUUUUGCCGAGCUUGCGUUUGAUCUGCCUUUAUGCGCCAUUGAAGAGAGAUCAAGACCCAGGGAGAAACCCUGAGCUUUCUUGUUGCUCAUGUCAUCUCGUUAUUUCCUGUCAUGUUAUCAAUUUCCCGAUAUUGGCUAAGGUGAACAUGACGAGUAGUUGGAUAUGUGGACGGAUUGGUGUCUUGGAAUCGUUGUAUUUUAUUUCAGUUUUAAAUAACUUUUCGAUUUAA
Brassica napus (rape) is the source of this 1907-nucleotide long non-coding RNA. RefSeq lists it as uncharacterized. Lineage: Eukaryota; Viridiplantae; Streptophyta; Magnoliopsida; Brassicales; Brassicaceae. The record is from RefSeq and is a predicted model, not a curated record. The transcript has 2 exons.